CCCUCUUUUUUGUCUACCUCUUCCACACUUUCUCAUACUUUCUACACUCUUCAAAGCCAUGAGCUGAGCAGUUUUCCUCUUUCAUGCCAUUUCUGCCUUGGAAACAUCUGCCCAUAGACUGAAAUGUUUGAAACUAUGAGCCAAAAUAAAUCUCUCCUCCUUUAACUUCUGGGGGCCAUACAUUUUGUCCUAGCGAAUGAAGGCUAACUAAAACAGAAACUGAAAACUAAUUGGUUUAUUUGUACCUGUCUUCGGAGAAAUGUUAAACAAGCUGCUUAUUUUCUCUGAGCCUGUAGCUAUCACCACUAUUUUAGCACUAAAUGGUAUCCAUAACCAGAUUUGUUAGAGUCUGGUGCUGGUACGUUGCCAUUGUUUAAGCACCAAGGGGUGCUGUAAGCCUGGCUUUGUCCCAGAUCUACUGUUGAUGUUAUUCAGAAUGAAACAGGAAAGUAACUAGAAAGAUUAAUCCACUCUCACAACACACACACAUACACACACACACAGAAGCUUCAAGCUUCUCCCUGGGGCUGGGAGUAGGCACAAACAUCUCAUCUAUAGUCACCAUUCUACACAGCAGUUAGACAAUAGGGGUCUUCCUGGCUCUUGACAGAGUCAUUAUGACCAGAUUGAGACACUGUUCCAUGCCUAUGGUCAUCAGUGUAAUCACACUGUGUCACACCCUGAACCCACAGCCAGAUAAGACUAGUACAGCACUGGGAAGAGACCAAGACCCACAUUGCUAUGGGCUAUCUAUUGCUUAAGGGGACCCAUGCCCCAAGACUACUGCUAUGGGCCUCAGGUGAUAAGGCCUGGAAUAAGAGUUCCACAGAAUGUGUCUGUACCAAGGCUAUUCCAGAGGCUCCAUCAACAGGAAACAGUAAGUAUAUUGGCCUACAUAAGAAUGAGACUACAGUUUGCAGAACACAGUUAUCUGGACUUUAUAAAUCACCAUCGUGUCUGUCUAAGAUCAUUAAAGAACAUAUAUUAUCAGAAAAGUGGAUCAUGCACUAAAUAGGUAAAGGAGAAAAGUCCAGCUACCAAGUCAUUCUUAAACGAUGGGCUAUUCUUAUGUUUAUUCAGAUUUAUUUGUCAUUUAGUCUUGGCAUAUCAUUUUGGCUUAUGCACAGGCUCAAACAUAGUCUGAGUAGGAAGCAUUAGUAGAAGGGAAAAUUACACAGGAUUUAACUGAGCUAAGGCCUAGAAUAGUCAUAAUGGACCUCAAGAAAUCUAGUAAUGCUGAGGAUUUAGCUCCAUGGUUCUACCGCCUGCCUCACAAAUGCAAGGUC
Molecule: long non-coding RNA, 1286 nt
Filed under: Fukomys damarensis (Damara mole-rat)
Lineage: Eukaryota; Metazoa; Chordata; Mammalia; Rodentia; Bathyergidae
Description: lncRNA (ENSFDAG00000025828.1)
Source: RNAcentral